CCUACGGGAGGCAGCAGUGAGGAAUAUUGGUCAAUGGACGAGAGUCUGAACCAGCCAAGUAGCGUGAAGGAUGAAUGCCCUAUGGGUUGUAAACUUCUUUUAUAUGGGAAUAAAACGUUCCACGUGUGGGAUUUUGUAUGUACCAUAUGAAUAAGGAUCGGCUAACUCCGUGCCAGCAGCCGCGGUAAUACGGAGGAUCCGAGCGUUAUCCGGAUUUAUUGGGUUUAAAGGGAGCGUAGGUGGAUUGUUAAGUCAGUUGUGAAAGUUUGCGGCUCAACCGUAAAAUUGCAGUUGAAACUGGCAGUCUUGAGUACAGUAGAGGUGGGCGGAAUUCGUGGUGUAGCGGUGAAAUGCUUAGAUAUCACGAAGAACUCCGAUUGCGAAGGAAGUUCACUGGACUGCAACUGACACUGAGGCUCGAAAGUGUGGGUAUCAAACAGGAUUAGAUACCCCAGUAGUC
RNAcentral lists this ribosomal RNA (460 nucleotides) under uncultured bacterium. Its description in RNAcentral is "partial 16S ribosomal RNA". It matches the Rfam family "Bacterial small subunit ribosomal RNA", at positions 338 to 795 of the family's 1533-position model. The record is from RNAcentral.